RNAcentral lists this non-coding RNA (85 nucleotides) under Peptococcaceae bacterium. RNAcentral describes it as "c-di-GMP sequence". It matches the Rfam family "c-di-GMP-I riboswitch aptamer". Rfam says of the family: GEMM was predicted in a large-scale screen for bacterial structured RNA regulatory elements. Genes associated with GEMM are involved in a diverse array of functions, including chemotaxis regulation, signal transduction, secretion and chitin. The record is from RNAcentral. Lineage: Bacteria; Bacillati; Bacillota; Clostridia; Eubacteriales; Peptococcaceae.
CUGCGAUAACGGCAAACUCAGUGAGAACUGAGGGCGCAAAGCCACGGGUCUUAACACAUUAUGGUGAAGAAAGCCGGAUAUCGAA